CAUCUGAUUAGAGUUUGAUCMUGGCUCAGGAUGAACGCUGGCGGCGUGCCUAAGACAUGCAAGUCGAGUGGGUUUAGACCCACGGCGAACGGGUGAGUAUAACUCAGGAACUUUCCUUAAGUGGAGCAUAACCAGCCGAAAGGUUGGAUAAUUCUCCAUGUGGUCCCGAUGAAUAAUCGUGACUAAAGUAGCAAUACGCUUAAGGUGAGGCCUGGGCACCAUCAGCUAGUUGGUAAGGUAAUGGCUUACCAAGGCUAUGACGGUUAGGGGUCCCGAGAGGGAUAACCCCCACACUGGGACUGCGACACGGCCCAGACUCCUACGGGAGGCAGCAGUUUGGAAUAUUGGACAAUGGGCGAAAGCCUGAUCCAGCGACGCCGCGUGGACGAUGAAGGUCUUCGGAUUGUAAAGUCCUUUUGGCAGGGAACAAUUUUUGAGCGUACCUGCAGAAUAAGAGGUUGCUAA
This 465-nucleotide ribosomal RNA is filed under the name uncultured bacterium. RNAcentral describes it as "bacterial SSU rRNA". It matches the Rfam family "Bacterial small subunit ribosomal RNA", at positions 1 to 500 of the family's 1533-position model. The record is from RNAcentral.